RNAcentral lists this ribosomal RNA (497 nucleotides) under uncultured bacterium. Its description in RNAcentral is "partial 16S ribosomal RNA". It matches the Rfam family "Bacterial small subunit ribosomal RNA", at positions 28 to 507 of the family's 1533-position model. The record is from RNAcentral.
GACGAACGCUGGCGGCGUGCCUAAUACAUGCAAGUUGAGCGAUGAAGAUUGGUGCUUGCACCAAUUUGAAGAGCAGCGAACGGGUGAGUAACGCGUGGGGAAUCUGCCUUUGAGCGGGGGACAACAUUUGGAAACGAAUGCUAAUACCGCAUAAAAACUUUAAACAUAAGUUUUAAGUUUGAAAGAUGCAAUUGCAUCACUCAAAGAUGAUCCCGCGCUGUAUUAGCUAGUUGGUGAGGUAAAGGCUCACCAAGGCGAUGAUACAUAGCCGACCUGAGAGGGUGAUCGGCCACAUUGGGACUGAGACACGGCCCAAACUCCUACGGGAGGCAGCAGUAGGGAAUCUUCGGCAAUGGACGAAAGUCUGACCGAGCAACGCCGCGUGAGUGAAGAAGGUUUUCGGAUCGUAAAACUCUGUUGGUAGAGAAGAACGUUGGUGAGAGUGGAAAGCUCAUCAAGUGACGGUAACUACCCAGAAAGGGACGGCUAACUACGUG